Molecule: ribosomal RNA, 305 nt
Filed under: uncultured bacterium
Lineage: Bacteria
Description: bacterial SSU rRNA
Rfam family: Bacterial small subunit ribosomal RNA
Source: RNAcentral
UCCUACGGGACGCAGCAGUGGGGGAUAUUGGACAAUGGGGGAAACCCUGAUCCAGCGAUGCCGCGUGAGGGAAGAAGGUUUUCGGAUUGUAAACCUCUGUGGCGGGGGACGAUAAUGACGGUACCCCUUUAGGAAGCCACGGCUAACUACGUGCCAGCAGCCGCGGUAAUACGUAGGGGGCAAGCGUUAUCCGGAUUUACUGGGUGUAAAGGGAGCGUAGACGGCAGGGCAAGUCUGGAGUGAAAGCCCGGGGCCCAACCCCGGGACUGCUUUGGAAACUGCCAUGCUAGAGUGCUGGUGAGGUA